AACGAACGCUGGCGGCAUGCCUAACACAUGCAAGUCGAACGAGACCUUCGGGUCUAGUGGCGCACGGGUGCGUAACGCGUGCGAACCUGCCCUUAGGUUCGGAAUAACUCCCCGAAAGGGGUGCUAAUACCGGAUAAUGUCUUCGGACCAAAGAUUUAUCGCCUUUGGAUGGGCCCGCGUUGGAUUAGCUAGUUGGUAGGGUAAAAGCCUACCAAGGCGACGAUCCAUAGCUGGUCUGAGAGGAUGAUCAGCCACACUGGGACUGAGACACGGCCCAGACUCCUACGGGAGGCAGCAGUGGGGAAUAUUGGACAAUGGGCGAAAGUCUGAUCCAGCAAUGCCGCGUGAGUGAUGAAGGCCUUAGGGUUGUAAAGCUCUUUUACCCGGGAUGAUAAUGACAGUACCGGGAGAAUAAGCGCCGGCUAACUCCGUG
This 433-nucleotide ribosomal RNA is filed under the name uncultured bacterium. Its description in RNAcentral is "partial 16S ribosomal RNA". It matches the Rfam family "Bacterial small subunit ribosomal RNA", at positions 29 to 507 of the family's 1533-position model. The record is from RNAcentral.